UGGGGAAUUUUGGGCAAUGGGCGAAAGCCUGACCCAGCAACGCCGCGUGGAGGACGAAGGUUUUCGGAUCGUAAACUCCUGUCCAGAGGGACGAAGCAAGUGACGGUACCUCUGGAGGAAGCCCCGGCUAACUCCGUGCCAGCAGCCGCGGUAAGUACGGGGGGGGCAAGCGUUGUUCGGAAUUACUGGGCGUAAAGGGCGCGUAGGCGGCCUCGGAAGUCAUGGGUGAAAGCCCCGAGCUCAACUCGGGUAUGGCCUGUGAAACCACGGGGCUGGAGUGCUGGAGAGGGAAGCGGAAUUCCCAGUGUAGCGGUGAAAUGCGUAGAUAUUGGGAGGAACACCGGUGGCGUAGGCGGCUUCCUGGACAGACACUGACGCUGAGGCGCGAAAGCCAGGGGAGCGAACGGGAUUAGAUACCCCGGUAGUCCUGGCUGUAAACGAUGAACACUUGAUGUGGGGGGUAGGCAAGUCCCUCCGUGUCGCAGAUAACUCGUUAAGUGUUCCGCCUGGGGAGUACGGCCGCAAGGCUA
RNAcentral lists this ribosomal RNA (530 nucleotides) under uncultured Acidobacteriota bacterium. RNAcentral describes it as "bacterial SSU rRNA". It matches the Rfam family "Bacterial small subunit ribosomal RNA", at positions 355 to 896 of the family's 1533-position model. Lineage: Bacteria; Pseudomonadati; Acidobacteriota. The record is from RNAcentral.